CACGCAUGCGCCCCUCCCCCAUAAGGCCCCUGUUCCAGGGAAACACAAUGGAUUCUAGCGUUGGGACCAAGCAAGCCACUGGAGCGCAUACAUGGACCGUUGGCCGUCACAGCAGAAGGCAGUCCUGUGAUGUGAGACAACGAACCUGAAGCUACUCCCACCCCUGCUGCUCACCAGCUCUGGCGCUGACACCAGUUCCUCUUCUCUCGGGAUCUAGCAGAAGAGCCACAAAGAAUCAAUCUAAAGUUAUAUGAGAGGAAGGAAAACAAACAAAACUCCCAAACAGCAAAGAACCAAAUAAGGAUGCUUGGAUGGACUUUUCACACACAAGUAAAGAUAUUCAGUAGUCACUGUCGUGGUACCACAUCUCCUCUCAGCAUCCGUUUCCUUGCAGUCCAACCCUACAGUUUAUUAGUGCAAACAUCUGUGACUCCCUAUCUGAUGGGUUUUUCCGGUCCGCAAACUGUGCUCAGCAUUUGAGCUGGCCAGGAGGAAAGUUCAGUGCAGCCAAUGCCCCAGGAGCAGACUCCAGACAACGAGGGUGGAGUCUAUGGGUAAAUGCCCCAGAUACCGCCUCGGUCAAGUGGGACAAAGCCAGGCAUCUCCUACACCACCUCCUGCAGGACCCGGGCAGGACUGAGCCCCACGUGCCCAGCACGCUCACCUGAGCACUAAGACACCCAGCAUUGGCUUCUCACAUUCCUAACCCACCCAACCAGAGUCUGCUUUUGAGGGAACCCAUGCUAAAGUGGAUCAUUUGUUCAGUGCCUAUGUUUCAGGUGACCACUGUACUUCUGGAUUAAAAUAAAGAAUUUUGUUUACACCCAAAUAUUAAAAAAUGAAUUCUCAGAUAAGGCUUUUAUAUAGGAUUAAAAUCAUGGUCUGUGGCAGAGCAGCUCUGCUCAAAUGCAUCCUCUACAGCCACUGCUCGGGGAUGUUAGAGUAAUCAAUGUCAGACAUUGAGCAGAGUGCUUGACAUACUGCGUGUAGUAAAUGUAAGUGUAGUUUGAUGUGUUUUGACCAAUGCAUACACCCGUGUAAACAUGGCCCCGGUAAAGGCAAUAUUCCCACAACCUCUCAAGUCCUCUGUAGCCAAUCUUCACACACCCCUGCCCCAGGCAAGACCCAUCUGUUCUCUCUCACUAUAGUUCAGUGACUUUGGGUUUGAAAACAUGAUUAGAAGUUGAAUUCAGUCAAAUAGAUAAUAACUGUUUCGGGGGGGAAGGUUGCUUCACUAUGUGCUAUCAUUUUUUAUCAAAACAAUUGACGUUCAUCACUUCUCUGAGUGAUGAAGAAAGAGAAAGCCAUUUUCAGAAUUGAU
This is a non-coding RNA of Microcebus murinus (gray mouse lemur), 1321 nucleotides long. The record is from RefSeq and is a predicted model, not a curated record. NCBI's taxonomy places the organism in Eukaryota, Metazoa, Chordata, Mammalia, Primates, Cheirogaleidae.